Molecule: ribosomal RNA, 597 nt
Filed under: uncultured bacterium
Lineage: Bacteria
Description: bacterial SSU rRNA
Rfam family: Bacterial small subunit ribosomal RNA
Source: RNAcentral
CCAGACUCCUACGGGAGGCAGCAGUGAGGAAUAUUGGUCAAUGGGCGAGAGCCUGAACCAGCCAAGUCGCGUGAAGGAUGACUGUCUUAUGGAUUGUAAACUUCUUUUGUAGGGGAAUAAAGAACAGCACGUGUGUUGUAGUGAAUGUACCCUACGAAUAAGCAUCGGCUAACUCCGUGCCAGCAGCCGCGGUAAUACGGAGGAUGCGAGCGUUAUCCGGAUUUAUUGGGUUUAAAGGGUGCGUAGGUGGCGUAUUAAGUCAGUGGUGAAAAGCUGCAGCUCAACUGUAGUCUUGCCGUUGAAACUGAUAUGCUAGAGAGGAGACGAGGUAUGCGGAAUGUGUGGUGUAGCGGUGAAAUGCAUAGAUAUCACACAGAACGCCGAUUGCGAAGGCAGCGUACCAGGCUCCGUCUGACACUGAAGCACGAAAGCGUGGGGAUCAAACAGGAUUAGAUACCCCGGUAGUCCACGCAGUAAACGAUGAAUACUAGAUUUUUGCGAUAUAGUGUAAGAGUCUAAGCGAAAGCGAUAAGUAUUCCACCUGGGGAGUACGCCGGCAACGGUGAAACUCAAAGGAAUUGACGGGGGCCGCACAAG